UCCACUUAAUGUCCAUUUACAUCUAAAACCCAUACCCAAUUACAUCAACCCAAAUCAACAUAGCCCAAAACCCUCUUUAAACCUAGUUCUAAGCCCAGCAAACCAACUCGGCCCAAUACACUAUGGCCCGAUUUUAAGAAAAUUCCAGAAACACCUAGGGUUUCUGAAAUCCUUUGCGCAGCAGUCAAGCCAGGCUCUGCUCCGCGCAUGCUGCACCACUGCCAAGCAUCGACCUCCCCCACGCGCCUCCAUACACUCCAGCUGGACUCCUCCAUACCUGUAGCAAACAACAAAUCGACAGCAAAAUGGAACAAACAAACAGCAAAAAAAGGAAGGCAGAGAAAAAAAAUAGAAUUUGUAUUCGUUUUCUUUUCUUUUGUUUUUUCGAGUGAUAAAAAACCCAAAGAUGUACUGAAAGGGGGGCUUUUUUUCCCUUUUUACGCAUUCAGAAUACAAAGAAAAAAGAUUGAAAGGUGACUUUCGGUUUUUCUUUUCCAUUCGCAGAUCGUCCUCUUUCUUUUUCUUUCUUUUUUCGCUUUACAUUUAUUGAUUAUUUACUAAAGAAACAGUUAAUAAUAAAAGAAAGACAUACCUGGUAACCCCAUCCUCUCCCUCCGUCGUUAUCGGAGUUGAGUGGGGGUUGGAGAGUCUGAGGAGAGGUUUCGUCGAGCGGCGCAGAGGGAGUUUUAGUUUAGGUUUUUUUUUG
RNAcentral lists this long non-coding RNA (706 nucleotides) under Gossypium barbadense (sea-island cotton). Its description in RNAcentral is "long non-coding RNA (GBAR_LNC019870)". Lineage: Eukaryota; Viridiplantae; Streptophyta; Magnoliopsida; Malvales; Malvaceae. The record is from RNAcentral.